AGGAUUAACGUUGGCGGCGUGCAUAACACAUGCAAGUUGAGCGUGGCCACUAGUUUACUAGAGGUCUAGCAGCGGACGGCUGAGUAAUGCACAGGAACGUACCUCAAAGUGGGGCAUAGCCCAUCGAAAGAUGGGGUAAUACCGCAUGUGCUCGCAAGAGUAAAGCCGCAAGGCGCUUUAAGAACGGCCUGUGUCCUAUCAGGUAGUUGGUGAGGUAAUGGCUCACCAAGCCUAUGACGGGUAGCUGGUCUGAGAGGAUGACCAGCCAGAUCGGGACUGAGACACGGCCCGAACUCCUACGGGAGGCAGCAGUUGGGAAUUUUGCACAAUGGACGAAAGUCUGAUGCAGCGACGCCGCGUGGGGGAUGAAGGUUUUCGGAUUGUAACCCUUUGCGAGGAGUAAUUUGUGACGUACCUCGCGAAUAAGCACGGCUACUCCGUGCCAGCAGCCGCGGUA
RNAcentral lists this ribosomal RNA (457 nucleotides) under uncultured bacterium. Its description in RNAcentral is "SSU rRNA". It matches the Rfam family "Bacterial small subunit ribosomal RNA", at positions 26 to 522 of the family's 1533-position model. The record is from RNAcentral.